This 586-nucleotide ribosomal RNA is filed under the name Bacillus subtilis. Its description in RNAcentral is "bacterial SSU rRNA". It matches the Rfam family "Bacterial small subunit ribosomal RNA", at positions 848 to 1436 of the family's 1533-position model. Lineage: Bacteria; Bacillati; Bacillota; Bacilli; Caryophanales; Bacillaceae. The record is from RNAcentral.
GCAGCUGACGCAUUAAGCACUCCGCAUGGGGAGUACGGUCGCAAGACUGAAACUCAAAGGAAUUGACGGGGGCCCGCACAAGCGGUGGAGCAUGUGGUUUAAUUUGAAGCAACGCGAAGAACCUUACCAGGUCUUGACAUCCUCUGACAAUCCUAGAGAUAGGACGUCCCCUUCGGGGGCAGAGUGACAGGUGGUGCAUGGUUGUCGUCAGCUCGUGUCGUGAGAUGUUGGGUUAAGUCCCGCAACGAGCGCAACCCUUGAUCUUAGUUGCCAGCAUUCAGUUGGGCACUCUAAGGUGACUGCCGGUGACAAACCGGAGGAAGGUGGGGAUGACGUCAAAUCAUCAUGCCCCUUAUGACCUGGGCUACACACGUGCUACAAUGGACAGAACAAAGGGCAGCGAAACCGCGAGGUUAAGCCAAUCCCACAAAUCUGUUCUCAGUUCGGAUCGCAGUCUGCAACUCGACUGCGUGAAGCUGGAAUCGCUAGUAAUCGCGGAUCAGCAUGCCGCGGUGAAUACGUUCCCGGGCCUUGUACACACCGCCCGUCACACCACGAGAGUUGUAACACCCGAAGUCGGUGAGGA